UCACUUGAGAAUUUGGAAAUAUCCGAUAGUUGUAAUUCAAUGACAUCAUUUACCUUGGGCUUUCUCCCUUUCCUCCAAACUCUACAUAUUUGUAACUGUAAAAACCUAAAAUCGAUAUUAAUUGCAGAAGACACAUCACAGCAUAAUCUCUUGUUUCUUAGAACUGUCGAAAUAAGGAAAUGUGAUGAACUGGAGUCAGUUUCCCUGGGUGGAUUUCCCAUUCCUAACAUCAUUCGUUUAACUGUGCGUGAGUGUAAGAAGCUUAGUUCGUUGCCAGAACCAACAAACACUCUAGGUAUCCUUCAAAAUGUGGAAAUUCAUGACCUUCCAAAUCUGCAAUACUUUCCCGUAGAUGAUUUGCCUAUCAGUUUACGGGAACUCAGCGUAUACAAAGUUGGAGGGAUUUUGUGGAAUGCAACUUGGGAACGUCUCACUUCUCUUUCAGUGUUGCAUAUUACGGGGGAUGAUCUUGUGAAGGCCAUGAUGAAAAUGGAAGUUCCAUUGCUACCCACUUCUCUGGUUUCCUUAACGAUCUCUCUUGAAGAUAUAGAAUGCUUGGAUGGCAAGUGGCUUCAACAUCUCACCUCUCUCCAAAAACUUAAGAUUGAUGAUUCUCCCAAGCUCAAGUCAUUGCCAGAAGAGGGGAAGUUGCCUUCCUCUCUUAAAGUACUGCGUAUCAAUGACUGCCCAUUGUUGGAAGAAAUUUGCCGAAGGAAGCGUGGGAAAGAGUGGCGUAAGAUUUCUCACAUUCCCUUCAUAUUUGUCGACGACAAAAUCAUAACAUGAGUAUCACAUCCUGAUUAUGGCCCAUCGGGUGUUGAAACUGGAAUAAAAUGCUUCCCCUUUUAUUCUUCAUUUUUCUUCGUGCUGCUGACCAUGGUCACUGAAAAGGUUUGAAAAUUCAACUAGCAGACAAAUCACAUUCUCAAAGGGAUCAGAAAUGGGUUGCUCAACAAGGCUAAUGAUCAUUACAUUCUGUGAUGCCGGGGUUUCUUGCAUGUUUCAACUUUGGGAAAGGCUAUAAACGUGGAAAUCGAGCCAUCAGAACUGGAAACCAGACCAGAUCACCCUCCCCUAAUGGUGCAUGCUUCUUAUACCGACCAGAACUUGCUCAAUCUCGAAUCAAUAUACAGAAAAGGAGUUG
This is a long non-coding RNA of Medicago truncatula (barrel medic), 1144 nucleotides long. RefSeq lists it as uncharacterized. The transcript is spliced from 4 exons. The record is from RefSeq and is a predicted model, not a curated record. Lineage: Eukaryota; Viridiplantae; Streptophyta; Magnoliopsida; Fabales; Fabaceae.